AGAGUUUGAUCAUGGCUCAGGACGAACGCUGGCGGCGUGCCUAACACAUGCAAGUCGAACGGAGAUAUUAAUGAAGCUCGCGAUUUAAUAUCUUAGUGGCGGACGGGUGAGUAACGCGUGGGUAAUCUACCUAUCAGUGGGGGACAACAGUUGGAAACGACUGCUAAUACCGCAUACCUUGAGCAAUCAAGAAAGAUGGCCUCUGCAAAUGCUGUCGCUGAUAGAUGAGCCCGCGUCUGAUUAGCUAGUUGGUGGGGUAACGGCCUACCAAGGCAACGAUCAGUAGCCGGCCUGAGAGGGUGAACGGCCACACUGGGACUGAGACACGGCCCAGACUCCUACGGGAGGCAGCAGUGGGGAGUAUUGCGCAAUGGGGGAAACCCUGACGCAGCGACGCCGCGUGAGCGAUGAAGGCCUUAGGGUUGUAAAGCUCUGUUUUAAGGGACGAAUGUCGGUGGGAGUAAUAUGCCCGCCGAAUGACGGUACCUUAAGAGGAAGCCCCGGCUAACUACGUGCCAGCAGCCGCGGUAAUACGUAGGGGGCGAGCGUUGUCCGGAUUUACUGGGCGUAAAGGGUGAGUAGGCGGGAACUUAAGUCAGGUGUGAAAGACCGGGGCUCAACUCCGGGGUGGCACUUGAAACUGGGUUUCUUGAGGGCAGGAGAGGAAAGCAGAAUUCCUGGUGUAGCGGUGAAAUGCGUAGAAAUCAGGAGGAAUACCAGUGGCGAAGGCGGCUUUCUGGACUGACCCUGACGCUGAGGUGCGAAAGCGUGGGUAGCAAACAGGAUUAGAUACCCUGGUAGUCCACGCCGUAAACGAUGGAUACUAGGUGUGGGAGGUAUCGACCCCUUCCGUGCCGCAGCUAACGCAAUAAGUAUCCCGCCUGGGGAGUACGGUCGCAAGGCUGAAACUCAAAUGAAUUGACGG
RNAcentral lists this ribosomal RNA (925 nucleotides) under uncultured bacterium. RNAcentral describes it as "bacterial SSU rRNA". It matches the Rfam family "Bacterial small subunit ribosomal RNA", at positions 8 to 916 of the family's 1533-position model. The record is from RNAcentral.